This 321-nucleotide long non-coding RNA is filed under the name Homo sapiens (human). Its description in RNAcentral is "non-protein coding lnc-CEP128-2:1". The record is from RNAcentral. Lineage: Eukaryota; Metazoa; Chordata; Mammalia; Primates; Hominidae.
AUGGUUUGCUAUUCACUCGACCCAGAAAACCCCUCAAAAUCAGGCAAAUCAAGAGUUUCAAAUAUUUGUGUUUCCUUUAAGAACACUUGUGAAACUGCCCAGGCCAUCAAGGGUGUGCAUAUAUGAAAAGCCACCAAGUAUCCGAAAGAUGUCACUUCACAAAAACAGCGUGCACCAUUCUGACAUUACAAUGGGGGAAUUGGUAGUGCCCAGGUCAAGUGGUGGGGCUGGACACAGGAGGCAAAUAGGAAAUGUAGUCUGAAGCACAAGGAAGAGGUCAGGGCUAAUGAUAAAAUGUGGCAGUCAUUAUUAUCCAGGUGA